Rhodamnia argentea is the source of this 144-nucleotide long non-coding RNA. RefSeq lists it as uncharacterized. The transcript has 3 exons. The record is from RefSeq and is a predicted model, not a curated record. Lineage: Eukaryota; Viridiplantae; Streptophyta; Magnoliopsida; Myrtales; Myrtaceae.
AAGCAUCCGGAGAAAAUGGAGAGAUGGAAGAAAGCUCUUUCGGACGCCGGUAACUUGAUCGGGUGGACUUUGAAUGAUGGGUAAGUAGAAAGGGUUCCAUCUUUUGUAUAUGAAACUAUUCUUUACGAGUAUGGACCGAUCGGA